Molecule: transfer RNA, 61 nt
Filed under: Apaloderma vittatum (bar-tailed trogon)
Lineage: Eukaryota; Metazoa; Chordata; Aves; Trogoniformes; Trogonidae
Rfam family: tRNA
About the family: Transfer RNA (tRNA) molecules are approximately 80 nucleotides in length. Their secondary structure includes four short double-helical elements and three loops (D, anti-codon, and T loops). Further hydrogen bonds mediate the characteristic L-shaped molecular structure. tRNAs have two regions of fundamental functional importance: the anti-codon, which is responsible for specific mRNA codon recognition, and the 3' end, to which the tRNAs corresponding amino acid is attached (by aminoacyl-tRNA synthetases). tRNAs cope with the degeneracy of the genetic code in two manners: having more than one tRNA (with a specific anti-codon) for a particular amino acid; and 'wobble' base-pairing, i.e. permitting non-standard base-pairing at the 3rd anti-codon position.
Source: Rfam by way of RNAcentral
AUAGCUCAGUCAGUAAGAGCGUGGUCCUGAUAAUACCAAGGUCACGGGUUCGAUCCCCGUU